AAGCGAAUAGUCAUUCAGCUCAUCAAGAAAUUACCCGCCUUUUAUGAAAUCCGAAGAUUCAUUAGUAUGUUCAUACGAACCCACCACUGGUCCGAGUCCUGAGUCGGAUAAAUCCAGUGCCUUUAGCCUCUACUCGUGAAUUGAAAUCCGUCAUCACACAAAAUCCUGCUCUUCGCCGAACUCGAAUCGCCUUCCCUAGACUCUCGUUCAGUCUGCUGGGAUCAGUCGUCGCCGCAGCAUGUCGAAGGAGCGUGGUACUUGGUCCAGCCAUCUGGAGUUCGUCUUGUCGUGCGUCAACUACGCCGUCGGGCUGGGAAACGUCUGGAGAUUCCCGUACCUUGUAUUCAAGAACGGCGGUGGAGCUUUCUUGGUGCCAUAUAUCAUCAUGCUGUUCGCCAUGGGACUUCCCAUAUUCUUCUUGGAACUCGUCAUCGGACAAUACUCGGGCCUGGGACCCAAUAAGGCCUUCCAGAGGAUGGCACCUAUCUUCCAUGGGCUCGGCUAUUGCACUCUGAUUGUGAUUGCACUUAUCACCAUCUAUUAUCAAGUUAUUAUUGCCUGGACUAUCUUUUACAUCUUUGCUUCAUUCAGUAGUCAACUUGGUUGGAGCUCUUGCGGACAUGACUUCAAUACUGACGAUUGUUACUCUGAAGCAGCCAAUGCAGAAUGUUUGAGUAAGUCAGAGAAUGAGUCAUGGCCACUCACAUUUAUACAACGUACUUGCCGUCCAGUAGGAGAAAUUUGUGCAGAGUAUAACCAAACUAUGCAUAACCGCACACACUGUUUCAAUGGCACUUAUAACCAUCUUAAUGCUAUCGUUCAGAGAGUGUUGUCUUCUGAAGAGUACUAUAGAGACUAUGCACUGGGUAUCAAUGGAGCAACCUGGGAAUCGUGGGGCAUACUCCGCUGGGAGAUGGUCCUGUGUCUGCUGAUGUCAUGGAUUAUCUUGUAUCUGUGUCUCAUGAAAGGUGUCCAGUCCUCUGGGAAAGUCACAUACUUCACUGCUAUCUUCCCUUAUUGUGUACUGCUGGCUCUGCUCAUCAGAGGAGUAACAUUAGAUGGGGCCUAUGAAGGCAUCAUAUUUUACAUCACUCCCUCAUGGGAGUCACUGACCAAUGCACAGGUAUGGGGUGAUGCAGCUUCACAAACAUUCUAUGCUCUUGGCAUAGGAUGUGGCUCACUGGUUACUCUUUCCAGCUACAGUCGAUUCAACAACAAUUGUCACCGGGAUGCAUUUGUAGUGGCAAUAACAAACUUGCUGACAGCCACACUUGCUGGUUUUGUGGUGUUUGCUAUUCUGGGCUUCCUUGCCAAGGAAAGUGGUGUGUCUGUGAAGGAUGUUGUCUCAUCUGGGCCUGGCCUUGCUUUCAUCACCUAUCCAGAAGCUGUGUUGCGUAUGCCUCUGCCCCAGCUUUGGGCUGUUCUGUUCUUUAUCAUGCUGUUCACUCUUGGCACUGGGAGCCAGUUUGCAGGAGUUGAAGCAAUCAAUACAGCAAUCAUUGACCAGUGGCCAUCACUGUGCAGUCACAAACAGUGGGUGGCAGCAAGCACAUGUGCAGCUUGCUUUGUAUUUGCUCUUCCCAUGUGCUGCAGUGGGGGUGUGUACCUCUUCACAGUCAUGGACUGGAACACUGCAUCCUGGGCCAUCCUCAUCAUUGGGUUCGCUGAAGUGGCCCUUGUUGCUUGGGUUUAUGGUUACAGUCAUUUCCUUGAUAAUGUAGGUGAAAUGAACAUACAUCUGUCCAAGUUCACAAGAGGCUAUUGGAGCAUUUCCUGGGCAGUGUUAGCCCCAGUCUUCCUCCUUGGUGUCUUGAUAUUGACUCUCAACAACUUCACACCUGCUUCUUAUGAUGAAUACAUAUUCCCAGAAUGGGUUGAUGGCCUUGGUUGGCUUAUUGGCGCUGUAUCUAUUUUGCCUCUGCCAACAUUUGCCUUAUACCGGCUAUUCAGAGCCAAGGAGGUUGGAUGGGAACUACUGCAACCAAGUAAGGUCUGGGGACCAGCACCGUUAAUGACAUUGGAAGUGCCUUCCUUUGUGGUCUGUGAGAACAGUGAAAAACCUUAUAAUGCAUAUGAGAAAAGUGAUAAACCUUAUAGUGAAUAUGAGAACUUUGAAAACUCUGCAGGAACUAGAAGUGAAGCUGUGAAGACUGAGCCAGAGCUGGCUGACAUUCAGCAGUCAGAUGUUAGUGCAUAUGCAAAUCUUACCUUCCACUGUGAGAGUGGCAAGCGCCCAUUUCCAUGUGAAAACCAAACAAGUAGCUGAUGUUCUCAUGUGUAUUCUAAUAUAAACUAUUUGCUUAGCUGAAGUAAGGUUAUUCUACCACUUAUGGAACUGACUGCAUUGAUGGGAUACAGCCACAUGCAAGUACAAGAGCUGAGUUUCAUAUAUAUUUUUUUUUCUGGUGAUAUAUGUGCAGCAGUUGUUACAUAAGUGACAUUUGGAGUUUGCACAGUUGUGACAAUGAAGAUUAGGGUAGUCUGAAGAUGGAGGUAGUAGGUUCUUCCCAAAUGUUGGUAGUGCUCUGUCACACUGCAUGGUAACACAUCCCAAGAGAGGGUGAUCUUCACAUCUGACAUGUUUUAUAAUGUCCACCAUCUUGAUUCCUUUUAUCUUCUGCUUCAAACCACCAUCAAUACAACUCAGGAAAAGUAAAAUUAAUUUUUUCUUUAUAUUUUGUAGGAACACCAAGUAGGAUAGUCUAGUGAUAAAGCACUUUCUCUGUACUAAAAAAAAAUGUUCACCAAUAGGAUAGUCUAGUGAUAAAGCACUUGCCCUGUAUUAAAAAAAAACUAGUUCACCAAUAGGAUAGUCUAGUGAUAAAGCACUUGCCCUGUACUAAAAAAAACUAGUUCACCAAUAGGAUAGUCUAGUGAUAAAGCACUUGCCCUGUACUAAAAAAAUAACUAGUUCAGAUCCUGCCUAGGUUAAUGGCUAUUGUGACAAGGCUUACAUGAUAUUCCACUGCAUCUCAAGUAGCAUAAAAUAAGUCAUCACUGUCUCCUUCCAAAUUCUUAAAUAUUCACCAUUGAGAACCAUCUACCUAUCAUAUCUCACAGGUAAAGCAGCACAAUUAAAUAACUUGAGAAUCAACCAUUUUGAGUAUAGAAAAAGAUAAAUUAUGAAAAGAAAAUAUUUACCAGUACAGAGGCACUAUAAGGAUAAAUGUUAUUUAUUGUACACUGUAGAUAGUUUUGAUAAGAAUUUGAAGUUAUUGUUUGGAAUUUUAUUUAUAUUGAUGGAACUUAUUAAAUUAAUCUGAGGACUUUUGGCAACUGGAGAUGGCCCCUUCCCAAGUAUCUGCCAGUCAAAACAGUGCAAUACAGCGCAAUACUCUCUGAGUUCAAGAAACUGUACUAAAUUCUUUUAUGUUCACUGCACAACAAUUCAUAAUGUAUAUGCAUCUUACAAAAAGAAAUUAAAUAAACAGAAUGACUUAUUAAAAUAUUGCAUUGUUCUUAUGGAACCUAACUUUUGUAAUUUAAUGUCAUAUUGUGACAGCUGUUGACAAGAGAAGGGGAGGCAUUUACAUAAACAAGUAUAUAAAAUCUCCUUGCUUUUAACACACUAGACUCUGAACACACACUUAUACUUUUCCCCUGUUUUAGGACCAAUCCUGAAUAUACUCAUACCAAGUGGACCUAGCCCAAAUAUACUUACUUCAAUUCUUUUUCCCCCCAUCUCAGCACUGAAUACACUUGUGUCCUAUGGUCCUUGGACAUUUGAAUACAAGUACUAGCACCUAUACUAGGCAUGUAAGUUCAGGACACAAGAAACAAAAUUUGUCUAAAUAAAGCUGAGAGAAUAAUAAAAGUAAAUCUUGAAAUAAUGAUCAAAAUAAUCUAGUCUGUAAAGUAUGUUGGUGGAUGGAAAAUAUGUAAAUAUAUAAAGAUGCAGCAUUGUAAUGAUUGUGGAAAUGUGACUGAAAUAGCCCUAUCAUAGAUUAUGAAUCUUUUAUGUAUACGAAAUAUUAGACAGUAUAACAGGAGUUUGUAUUUAAAUAUUUUUAAGGAAAUUUUAAUUUUGUUUUUUAUUCAUAGUGCUGACAAUACUAGGUGUAAGAUAAAUUAGUAAAAGACUUGAAAUCAGCGUGAAAUGCAAUUUUCUGGAAGGAAAUCAGGUUGGCAAUUGACCUAUCAAGAUGAUGCCCCUUCUUGUAUUAGCAGUAUGUAUCAGUGAAUUUAUUUGGAAAUGCUCCUGUUUAUUCGCAAUAAACUUCACUGAGGAAAAUAUAUAUAUAUUUACACGGAAGAAGCAAUUUCUAGUCACUUGAAUGUAAUUUGAUAUGAAAUGUUAGAUUUGGUACCAACCAUAAUUCUAAUGGUUGUCUUUUAAAAAGAAAAAUUUAUUUUACAAUUGAGUGAACUAUCUUCAGAAAUUACUCCAUACUUCAUAAUCAAGUGAAAAUAAGCAAACUAAAUUGUUUUAAAAGUGUAUCAGUAUGUCAUAUCAAACCAUAGGACUCUGACACUAUCCUUGGGGACAUAAUGCCCUGGUGUCUCAUAGAUCUUUAUAGAUCAUAAGUACCACAGAACAAUGAAUAACUAUGAUAUUGCACAUCACUAUAACUACAACGAUAACUAUAUAUGAUUUAAUACUUUCACGGUGACAUUAUACAAUGAAGUCUUUUUGGGCAAUCAACCAUAGCAAUAUGGAAGUUGUGUCCAACAUUUGAGUGACAGACUUUGUCUCUCUCAUCAGUUGUUUAUGUGAUGCAUGUUGUGUUCACACACAGUAUUUAUAAACAAAGCUGUUGUGGGCAGACUUAGAUCAUCAGUGACGCCCUGUCCUGACUUGAGCUGUAUGGGAUACAGUUGAAUGGUCAUCUGGAUUCUUACUGCUUGUUGUUGGUUCUUCCUCAUGAAGUUUCUUUUAUGUUCUGUCAUGUGUUUUAUUGUAUUCAUCCCUUAGUACCUCGAACGUCCUAGAGAGAAUCCCCUGUCAGCCCCUGACUGAUGGAAACAUAGAAAGUUUCUCUGAAACGCGGGGCAUAAACUCCACAUUGACAAAUCUCUACGCCCGAUGAGGCUUCAUUGUACAGUGCACGUUUCAAAUAUUUUCGCGGUCUUUGUGGUGCACUUCUUGCUGCCAUCUGUGUAAGAAAUUGUAACUAAUUAUCAUACACUGGGUUGGUUCGGAUUCGUUGGCGGCAGUUGGUGGCAGUUGGGGUCGUUGGGGUUCAGGUGGGAUUUUAGUUUAGAAGAAGGUGAAGUAUUUCUGAUUAUUUCCAAAGUUUAAAAUAUGAAUCAAGUAUAUUAAAUGAAAUUGACGAGUGGUGUUUAACGGUUUGUUGUAAUUUUAAUUUUAAACUAGUCAGCAACUGUGCUGUUAGGUAUACUGUCGUUUACGGAUCACCUUAGUAGUCAUGGAACAAACACCCAUAUUCUUAUUACACUGCUGAAACUGUAUAACAGGUACGUGGGAACACUUUUGAUUUCUUAGGAUUUGAGGUUCUUACAGUUCUAUUUUAUGGGAUUUAAUGCUGUGCAGUCUGUUGAAAGUUAACCAGCGCUUUGGAGGAGAAAGCAGUCUUCUGGGAUUUGUCACCGUGUA
Cryptotermes secundus is the source of this 5554-nucleotide RNA transcript. It is a transcript of the gene named medium-chain acyl-CoA ligase ACSF2, mitochondrial, with no coding region annotated. The transcript has 12 exons. The record is from RefSeq and is a predicted model, not a curated record. Lineage: Eukaryota; Metazoa; Arthropoda; Insecta; Blattodea; Kalotermitidae.